Acanthopagrus latus (yellowfin seabream) is the source of this 411-nucleotide long non-coding RNA. RefSeq lists it as uncharacterized. The record is from RefSeq and is a predicted model, not a curated record. The transcript has 2 exons. NCBI's taxonomy places the organism in Eukaryota, Metazoa, Chordata, Actinopteri, Spariformes, Sparidae.
AUGCAACAUUGAUCUGCAAUUGAACCUGAUUGUUGCCAGACGGCGCCCAGCAGGUGGCCUUGAGGCAUAAUCAAUUUAUCAGCAACUUUAAUCGACAAGGACCUCUGCAAUAAAGACAGACAGUGUGUCCUCAGGUGAAGAUGAGUUAUAGUGGUCACAGCGAUGCUGCUGAUAGAUGAAGGUGAACUCAGCUCCGGCCUGCACCGGGAGACUUUAGAGGACACAGAGGCUGCCAUCCAUCCUCCCAGCCACCUACAUACCGCUAAACUUUGACUGCGCACUCCGUAGUGCAUACUGGAAUUUCUAUUGUGCGCUGUGUAGUUCUAUGAAGUGCCUUGGUACACAAACACACUGUAGUAUCCUGCUACGCCAUACAUUGAGAAAUUUCUGAAUAAACAGUAAUUCAGUGUG